UAGCUCAGUGGUAGAGUGCUUGCCUUGCAUGCAUGAGGUCCUGGGUUCGAUUCCUCAG
RNAcentral lists this transfer RNA (58 nucleotides) under Dipodomys ordii (Ord's kangaroo rat). It matches the Rfam family "tRNA", at positions 8 to 63 of the family's 71-position model. Rfam says of the family: Transfer RNA (tRNA) molecules are approximately 80 nucleotides in length. The record is from Rfam by way of RNAcentral. Lineage: Eukaryota; Metazoa; Chordata; Mammalia; Rodentia; Heteromyidae.